GACGAACGCUGGCGGCGUGCUUAACACAUGCAAGUCGAACGGAAAGGCCUGCUUUCCCUUGUGGAUUGCGGGUACUCGAGUGGCGAACGGGUGAGUAACACGUGAGUGAUCUGCCCCCAACUUGGGUAUAAGCCUGGGAAACUGGGUCUAAUUCCCGAUAGGACUGCAGGGUGGUGCCUGUGGUGGAAAACGAUUUUCUAGUGGUUGGGGAUGAGCUCGCGGCCUAUCAGCUUGUUGGUGGGGUAAUGGCCUACCAAGGCGGCGACGGGUAGCCGGCCUGAGAGGGUGGACGGCCACAUUGGGACUGAGAUACGGCCCAGAAGCCUACGGGAGGCAGCAGUGGGGAAGAUUGCACAAUGGGCGGAAGCCUGAUGCAGCGACGCCGCGUGGGGGAUGACGGCCUUCGGGUUGUAAACUCCUUUCGACCGCGAGGAAGCCACCUGGUUGGAAGGGUGGUGACGGUAGUGGUAGAAGAAGCACCGGCUAACUACGUG
Molecule: ribosomal RNA, 494 nt
Filed under: uncultured bacterium
Lineage: Bacteria
Description: partial 16S ribosomal RNA
Rfam family: Bacterial small subunit ribosomal RNA
Source: RNAcentral